Molecule: ribosomal RNA, 63 nt
Filed under: Orthetrum chrysis
Lineage: Eukaryota; Metazoa; Arthropoda; Insecta; Odonata; Libellulidae
Description: partial 5.8S ribosomal RNA
Rfam family: 5.8S ribosomal RNA
About the family: 5.8S ribosomal RNA (5.8S rRNA) is a component of the large subunit of the eukaryotic ribosome. It is transcribed by RNA polymerase I as part of the 45S precursor that also contains 18S and 28S rRNA.
Source: RNAcentral
AUCCUAUGCGGUGGAUCACUCGGCUCGUGGAUCGAUGAAGAACGCAGCAAACUGCGCGUCGAA